UUUGGUUAAGUUAGAAAGGGCGCACGGUGGAUGCCUUGACACUAGGAGUCGAUGAAGGACGGGACUAACGCCGAUAUGCUUCGGGGAGCUGUAAGUAAGCUUUGAUCCGAAGAUUUCCGAAUGGGGAAACCCACUAUACGUAAUGGUAUGGUAUCCUUACCUGAAUACAUAGGGUAUGGAAGACAGACCCAGGGAACUGAAACAUCUAAGUACCUGGAGGAAGAGAAAGCAAAUGCGAUUUCCUGAGUAGCGGCGAGCGAAACGGAAUCUAGCCCAAACCAAGAGGCUUGCCUCUUGGGGUUGUAGGACAUUCUAUACGGAGUUACAAAGGAACGAGGUAGACGAAGCGACCUGGAAAGGUCCGUCGUAGAGGGUAACAACCCCGUAGUCGAAACUUCGUUCUCUCUUGAAUGUAUCCUGAGUACGGCGGAACACGUGAAAUUCCGUCGGAAUCUGGGAGGACCAUCUCCCAAGGCUAAAUACUCCCUAGUGAUCGAUAGUGAACCAGUACCGUGAGGGAAAGGUGAAAAGCACCCCGGAAGGGGAGUGAAAGAGAUCCUGAAACCGUGUGCCUACAAAUAGUCAGAGCCCGUUAAUGGGUGAUGGCGUGCCUUUUGUAGAAUGAACCGGCGAGUUACGAUCCCGUGCGAGGUUAAGUUGAAGAGACGGAGCCGCAGCGAAAGCGAGUCUGAAUAGGGCGUUUAGUACGUGGUCGUAGACCCGAAACCAGGUGAUCUACCCAUGUCCAGGGUGAAGUUCAGGUAACACUGAAUGGAGGCCCGAACCCACGCACGUUGAAAAGUGCGGGGAUGAGGUGUGGGUAGCGGAGAAAUUCCAAUCGAACCUGGAGAUAGCUGGUUCUCCCCGAAAUAGCUUUAGGGCUAGCCUUAAGUGUAAGAGUCUUGGAGGUAGAGCACUGAUUGAACUAGGGGUCCUCAUCGGAUUACCGAAUUCAGUCAAACUCCGAAUGCCAAUGACUUAUCCUUAGGAGUCAGACUGCGAGUGAUAAGAUCCGUAGUCAAGAGGGAAACAGCCCAGAUCGCCAGCUAAGGUCCCAAAGUGUGUAUUAAGUGGAAAAGGAUGUGGAGUUGCUUAGACAACUAGGAUGUUGGCUUAGAAGCAGCCACCAUUUAAAGAGUGCGUAAUAGCUCACUAGUCGAGUGACUCUGCGCCGAAAAUGUACCGGGGCUAAAUACACCACCGAAGCUGCGAAUUGAUACCAAUGGUAUCAGUGGUAGGGGAGCGUUCUAAGGACAGUGAAGUCAGACCGUAAGGACUGGUGGAGUGCUUAGAAGUGAGAAUGCCGGUAUGAGUAGCGAAAGACGGGUGAGAAUCCCGUCCACCGAAUGCCUAAGGUUUCCUGAGGAAGGCUCGUCCGCUCAGGGUUAGUCAGGACCUAAGCCGAGGCCGACAGGCGUAGGCGAUGGACAACAGGUUGAUAUUCCUGUACCACCUCUUUAUCGUUUGAGCAAUGGAGGGACGCAGAAGGAUAGAAGAAGCGUGCGAUUGGUUGUGCACGUCCAAGCAGUUAGGCUGAUAAGUAGGCAAAUCCGCUUAUCGUGAAGGCUGAGCUGUGAUGGGGAAGCUCCUUAUGGAGCGAAGUCUUUGAUUCCCCGCUGCCAAGAAAAGCUUCUAGCGAGAUAAAAGGUGCCUGUACCGCAAACCGACACAGGUAGGCGAGGAGAGAAUCCUAAGGUGUGCGAGAGAACUCUGGUUAAGGAACUCGGCAAAAUGACCCCGUAACUUCGGGAGAAGGGGUGCUUUCUUAACGGAAAGCCGCAGUGAAUAGGCCCAAGCGACUGUUUAGCAAAAACACAGGUCUCUGCGAAGCCGUAAGGCGAAGUAUAGGGGCUGACACCUGCCCGGUGCUGGAAGGUUAAGGAGAGGGGUUAGCGUAAGCGAAGCUCUGAACUGAAGCCCCAGUAAACGGCGGCCGUAACUAUAACGGUCCUAAGGUAGCGAAAUUCCUUGUCGGGUAAGUUCCGACCCGCACGAAAGGUGUAACGAUUUGGGCACUGUCUCAACCAGAGACUCGGUGAAAUUAUAGUACCUGUGAAGAUGCAGGUUACCCGCGACAGGACGGAAAGACCCCGUGGAGCUUUACUGUAGCCUGAUAUUGAAUUUUGGUACAGUUUGUACAGGAUAGGCGGGAGCCAUUGAAACCGGAGCGCUAGCUUCGGUGGAGGCGCUGGUGGGAUACCGCCCUGACUGUAUUGAAAUUCUAACCUACGGGUCUUAUCGACCCGGGAGACAGUGUCAGGUGGGCAGUUUGACUGGGGCGGUCGCCUCCUAAAGUGUAACGGAGGCGCCCAAAGGUUCCCUCAGAAUGGUUGGAAAUCAUUCGUAGAGUGCAAAGGCAUAAGGGAGCUUGACUGCGAGACCUACAAGUCGAGCAGGGACGAAAGUCGGGCUUAGUGAUCCGGUGGUUCCGCAUGGAAGGGCCAUCGCUCAACGGAUAAAAGCUACCCCGGGGAUAACAGGCUUAUCUCCCCCAAGAGUCCACAUCGACGGGGAGGUUUGGCACCUCGAUGUCGGCUCAUCGCAUCCUGGGGCUGUAGUCGGUCCCAAGGGUUGGGCUGUUCGCCCAUUAAAGCGGUACGCGAGCUGGGUUCAGAACGUCGUGAGACAGUUCGGUCCCUAUCCGUCGUGGGCGUAGGAAAUUUGAGAGGAGCUGUCCUUAGUACGAGAGGACCGGGAUGGACGCACCGCUGGUGUACCAGUUGUUCUGCCAAGGGCAUAGCUGGGUAGCUAUGUGCGGAAGGGAUAAGUGCUGAAAGCAUCUAAGCAUGAAGCCCCCCUCAAGAUGAGAUUUCCCAUAGCGUAAGCUAGUAAGAUCCCUGAAAGAUGAUCAGGUUGAUAGGUUCGAGGUGGAAGCAUGGUGACAUGUGGAGCUGACGAAUACUAAUAGAUCGAGGACUUAACCAUAUAA
This 2929-nucleotide ribosomal RNA is filed under the name Bacillus cereus. RNAcentral describes it as "bacterial LSU rRNA". It matches the Rfam family "Bacterial large subunit ribosomal RNA". The record is from RNAcentral. Lineage: Bacteria; Bacillati; Bacillota; Bacilli; Caryophanales; Bacillaceae.